UACGUAGGGCGCAAGCGUUGUCCGGAAUUAUUGGGCGUAAAGAGCUCGUAGGCGGCUUGUCACGUCGGGUGUGAAAGCCCGGGGCUUAACCCCGGGUCUGCAUUCGAUACGGGCAGGCUAGAGUGUGGUAGGGGAGAUCGGAAUUCCUGGUGUAGCGGUGAAAUUCGUAGAUAUUGGGAAGAACACCGGUGGCGAAGGCGGCGCUCUGGACCGAGACUGACACUGAGGAGCGAAAGCCAGGGGAGCAAACGGG
RNAcentral lists this ribosomal RNA (253 nucleotides) under uncultured bacterium. RNAcentral's name for it is "partial 16S ribosomal RNA". It matches the Rfam family "Bacterial small subunit ribosomal RNA", at positions 524 to 776 of the family's 1533-position model. The record is from RNAcentral.